Salarias fasciatus (jewelled blenny) is the source of this 1789-nucleotide long non-coding RNA. NCBI's taxonomy places the organism in Eukaryota, Metazoa, Chordata, Actinopteri, Blenniiformes, Blenniidae. The record is from Ensembl.
AUCGACUACACAGUUCCCACCACCAUCGCUGAUGACAUGAGUUACAUGUUUGACUACUGCACGCUGUCCACCAUCAAGGUUCACAACAUCGUGGUCAUGAUGCAGGUGACGGUGACGACCUCGUACUUCGGCCACUCGGAGCAGGUCUCCCAGGAGAUGUACCAGUACGUGGACUGCGGGGGGAACACCACCUCGCUGCACGGACACGUGCAGGUCUACCAGUAAAGAGAGAGAGAGAGAGGAGAAGGGGAAGCGCGUCAGCGUUCGUCACAGCGGCUCAUCCAUGUCUCCACUCCCACCCAGCUCCAGCCCCCCCCCCCCCCCCCCCCCCCCCCCCCCCCCCCCCCCGGUUCACAGACACUCCCCAUCAGACGGGCGGUUGCUUGUUUACCGGUCUGAUCUGCAGCAGGUGUGUGGUUUCCUCCCACUCCAGCGCCGUUGGGGAGGAAUUCAUUUCAUCUGCAGUUCGACUCGUGAUGCACUUUAGCCUGAUUCUCAUCAACAGAGUUACAGGAGCGGCGGGAGGUUUUUGCACCAUUCCCAUUCUGAGAGAUUCGUGACUUUUUUAGGACGGCGAGCAUCAAUCAGCAGUUUCUGACCACUUUGUGUUUCUCUGUUGUCAUUCCUUUCUGCAAGGUUUAUUAUUUUAAAUCUUGUUUCACGAAGUUAAUGUUCUCAGUAUCGUGUUGUGCAAUAGAUUAUUUUACGUCACUGGAUUGUUCUUUUCAGCUUUUUUUUUUUAUCUUGGACUUCUCUGCUUGAAAUUUGAUUAUUUAAAAUACAUUUACAACAACCACUCUACAUGAUUAUAUUCUGUGGUUUCAGAAAAGAAAAAAAAUUAAAGGAUUUUUUUUUCAUGGGAACAUUGGGUUUACUUUAAAUGUUACAUUGAGGAUUAUUUCUUUUUUUGCCUCUUAAAAAGGUACAAUAUGUAAUAUUUAGUUGAUGUAAAUCAAGCAACUCUUAAUUUUGUGGUAUUCUGGUAUAUUAAUUCCCAAAUUUAGCAGAUUUUCCAGUUCGUUUGGUCUUGUAGUGCAGGUUUUCUCCACAAGAUGGCGUAUUGAGUCGCUCGGAGAAGCUGCAGGUAAAUUAAUUGGCAAAAAUUGGCAAUAAAAGUCUCAACACUGCCACCUAAUGGACAGAAGAGGCAUGCCUAAAAUCUCACAUGCUUCCUUUAAAGCGAUUGUUCUCAUUUUUCUGUUUUGUUUUUUUUUUUGCACUGUUUUUUUCUCCACUUUGCAGCUUGUAUCAUGACCUGACUCACGUUUGUGAAGUGUGAUUAUUACAAUUUAUAGUUUAACCAUGUUGGAUUAAUUGAUAUGUUCUUAUUGUAAUUUUAAUUAAUAUUACUAAAAUUUAAAUGCAAUAAAUUUCUGUUUGAUGGAUCAAUUCCAAAACUUUUCCACCAUUAUUCAUAUCAGAAACUUGCUAAAUUAAUGGCCCGAGUCUCCUUUUGAAUAAAACAAUUAAUUUUUCCCACGUUUUUGAUCACUGUGGCAUUUUCUGGUAAAAUAAAAAGAACAGAUAAUGAUAUUUUGCCCUCGUGGUGUGAUUUAAGUAGUUUUAUUUAGAUUGUGUCACAAAAGAAUCUCAUUUUUAAAUCUCAACUCUGAGCUCGCUUCAGUUAUUUCCUAAAGAAAGUGAUUUCUGCCUUUAGUUUCGGGGGUUUCUCUUAAUCUUUGAUGAAGAUCUUCAGUAUUUUCCUGCUGCUUUCUGACAUCUCAACAGAGUUUCUUUGUUCUUCAUGCAUGAAGCUGAAAAAAGAAAAUAAAGUCAUUGUUUCAUUUGG